RNAcentral lists this ribosomal RNA (1244 nucleotides) under metagenome. RNAcentral's name for it is "SSU rRNA". It matches the Rfam family "Eukaryotic small subunit ribosomal RNA", at positions 483 to 1759 of the family's 1831-position model. The record is from RNAcentral.
AGGCGGUUCUCUAAGAGGCCCGCUAUCGGAAUGGGUACAAUUUAAACCCUUUAACGAGGACCUAUGAGAGGGCAAGUCUGGUGCCAGCAGCCGCGGUAAUUCCAGCUCUCAAGGUGUAUAUCGCCAUUGCUGCGGUUAAAAAGCUCGUAGUUGGAUCUGCGCCUUCGGACUCGGUCCUCCCAACGGGUGCGAACUGAGCUCCAAGGCUACUACUGCUGGUUUUCCCUUGAUGCUCUUCACUGGGUGUCUUGGGUGGCUAGCGAGUUUACUUUGAAAAAAUUAGAGUGCUCAAAACAGGCUAUUGCCUGAAUACCGGUGCAUGGAAUAAUAGAAUAGGAUCUCGGUCCUAUUUUGUUGGUUUUCGGAACUGAGAUAAUGGUUAAGAGGGACAGACGGGGGCAUUCGUAUCGCUGCGUGAGAGGUGAAAUUCUUGGACCGCAGCGAGACGCCCAACUGCGAAAGCAUUUGCCAAGAAUGUCUUCGUUAAUCAAGAACGAAAGUCAGAGGUUCGAAGGCGAUCAGAUACCGCCCUAGUUCUGACCGUAAACGAUGCCAACUAGCGAUCCGCCGGUGGUAAUUACGCCCCGGCGGGGAGCUUCCCGGAAACGAAAGUCUUCCGGUUCCGGGGGAAGUAUGGUUGCAAAGCUGAAACUUAAAGGAAUUGACGGAAGGGCACCACCAGGAGUGGAGCUUGCGGCUUAAUUUGACCCAACACGGGAAAACUCACCCGGCCCGGACACCGUAAGGAUUGACAGAUUGAGAGCUCUUUCUUGAUUCGGUGGUUGGUGGUGCAUGGCCGUUCUUAGUUGGUGGAGCGAUUUGUCUGGUUUAUUCCGAUAACGAACGAGACUCUGGCCUACUAACUAGUGACAGAAUUAUUGCUGUUCUGGUUACUUCUUAGAGGGACAAGUGGUGUUCAGCCACACGAAAUUGAGCAAUAACAGGUCUGUGAUGCCCUUAGAUGUCCGGGGCUGCACGCGUGCUACACUGGAGGAAACAGCAUGCAAAACCAUUGCUGAGAGGCAUUGGUAAACCCGAGAAAAUCUUCCGUGAUCGGGAUCGGGAAUUGCAAUUAUUUCCCUUGAACGAGGAAUUCCCAGUAAGUGUGGGUCAUCAGCUCGCGCUGAUUACGUCCCUGCCCUUUGUACACACCGCCCGUCGCUGCCCGGGACUGAGCCGUUUCGAGAAAAGCGGGGACUGCUGCUGUUGGGGCUUUCGGGCCUUGGCUUCGGUGGAAACCGCUU